AGAUUGAACGCUGGCGGCGUGCCUAACACAUGCAAGUCGAGCGGCAGCGCGGGAGCAAUCCUGGCGGCGAGCGGCGGACGGGUGAGUAACGCUUGGGAAUCUGCCUAUUAGUGGGGGACAACCCGGGGAAACUCGGGCUAAUACCGCAUACGCACUACGGUGGAAAGCCGGGGACCGCAAGGCCUGGCGCUAACAGAUGAGCCCAAGUCGGAUUAGCUAGUUGGUAGGUAACGGCCUACCAAGGCGACGAUCCGUAAACUGGUCUGAGAGGACGACCAGUCACACCGGAACUGAGACACGGUCCGGACUCCUACGGGAGGCAGCAGUGGGGAAUAUGGACAAUGGGCGAAAGCCUGAUCCAGCGACGCCGCGUGGGUGAAGAAGCCUGCGGUUGUAAAGCCCUUUCAGUGGGAAAGAAAAGCCUCGAGUUAACACCUCGGGUCUUGACGUAACCCAUAAGAAGAAGCACCGCUAAACUCUGUGCCAGCAAGCCGAC
RNAcentral lists this ribosomal RNA (496 nucleotides) under uncultured soil bacterium. Its description in RNAcentral is "bacterial SSU rRNA". It matches the Rfam family "Bacterial small subunit ribosomal RNA", at positions 26 to 522 of the family's 1533-position model. The record is from RNAcentral.